UAGGCAGUUAGCUCAACUGGAAGAGCAUUUCUCUUACAAAGAAAAGGUCGCAGGUUCAAAUCCUGCACUGCCUAU
Molecule: transfer RNA, 75 nt
Filed under: Endomicrobiia bacterium
Lineage: Bacteria; Pseudomonadati; Elusimicrobiota; Endomicrobiia
Description: tRNA-Val
Rfam family: tRNA
About the family: Transfer RNA (tRNA) molecules are approximately 80 nucleotides in length. Their secondary structure includes four short double-helical elements and three loops (D, anti-codon, and T loops).
Source: RNAcentral